Molecule: long non-coding RNA, 956 nt
Organism: Melospiza melodia melodia
Lineage: Eukaryota; Metazoa; Chordata; Aves; Passeriformes; Passerellidae
Exons: 3
Source: RefSeq, a predicted model, not a curated record
GGAACAGGGCGGCUCUGUCCCACACACAGCCUGGCCUGUUCUGCCUCUGCAGGCUCCUCAGUGGCACAGGGUGAGCUUGGCCUGAAGCUGCUCACAGCGGCGUCAGCUCCAUCUCAGCUCAGGCCCACCAGAUGGAGAAUCACAUAACAAAACUACUCUGCAAUGUGAUAGCAGCAUUUCCCUUCCUGUCGAGAACCACAGAAUAGACAGGGGAAACAGCAGGAUCUGGACGAUGGAAAAUAAGGUUUCCUGACCCCUGGGCAUCCCCACCUUGACCCUGGAUUGACUGUGCGUGAGCAAGAGAAGAGCCCAUAAUAGUUGCUACUUCAUCAUCAUCAUCUACAUCAUCAGACCCAGCUGGGCAUGCUGAGAACCACGGAAUCAUUUGCUUGGAAAAGACCUUAAAGACCAUCGGAUCCGACCCUCAAUUUGCUUUCUAAUGCCUAUGAAAGUGCACCCUGAGAGAAAACCUCCUCUUACGAGCUACUGGAAACACCACUGGCAAGGUCUAGAAUGGUUCCACACGUAGAACAGUAGCCAAAAGGCCUCACAUCUCUUGUGCAAACAAAGGAUGUUGGGUGCCCAGGGAAGGAAAGCUGAAGCACAUGCCAACACUGGCUCCUGUUCUAAGUCAUGCAUUAGUUUGGCUCAAGUUAGAAAGGCCCAUGGGCCACAUAAAACUACACAAUCAAGGUCUAUUCUAUAACACCCAGAGGGACUGUGUUAAGGUUACCAGGCAUCUCUAAUCCUGUUCUUUCUUAAGUUCUCAGAGACUGACUUUUUCCUUGCAUUCUUGCAUACAGCCCUGUUUAACCUGAAGUUAGUGAUGACUGUGACUUUUAUUAGAAAUGGAACAAAGAUGAGUCAAGGGAAUAUUUGUGUUAUGGCAACAGGUGAGGCUCCAAAGAGAAAACAGACGUCCUCAGAUGUGCUAAGAAAAUUGUUCUAAAUUAUAC